Molecule: ribosomal RNA, 254 nt
Filed under: uncultured bacterium
Lineage: Bacteria
Description: partial 16S ribosomal RNA
Rfam family: Bacterial small subunit ribosomal RNA
Source: RNAcentral
UACGGGGGGAGCAAGCGUUGUUCGGAUUUACUGGGCGUAAAGGGCGCGUAGGCGGCCACCGCAAGUCGGUUGUGAAAUCUCCGGGCUUAACCCGGAAAGGUCAAUCGAUACUGUGGGGCUAGAGUGCAGAAGGGGCAACUGGAAUUCUCGGUGUAGCGGUGAAAUGCGUAGAUAUCGAGAGGAACACCUGCGGCGAAGGCGGGUUGCUGGGCUGACACUGACGCUGAUGCGCGAAAGCUAGGGGAGCGAACGGG